UACGAAGGGGAGCUAGCGUUGUUCGGAAUUACUGGGCGUAAAGCGCGCGCAGGCGGCUAUCCAAGUCAGUGGUGAAAGCCCGGAGCUCAACUCCGGAACUGCCAUUGAAACUGUUUAGCUUGAGGACGAGAGAGGUGAGUGGAAUUCCCAGUGUAGAGGUGAAAUUCGUAGAUAUUGGGAAGAACACCGGUGGCGAAGGCGGCUCACUGGCUCGUAUCUGACGCUCAGGCGCGAUAGCGUGGGGAUCAAACAGG
This 254-nucleotide ribosomal RNA is filed under the name uncultured bacterium. Its description in RNAcentral is "partial 16S ribosomal RNA". It matches the Rfam family "Bacterial small subunit ribosomal RNA", at positions 524 to 776 of the family's 1533-position model. The record is from RNAcentral.